UACGGAGGGGGCGAGCGUUAUUCGGAAUUAUUGGGCGUAAAGGGCGCGUAGGCGGCCUGGCAAGUCAAAGGUGAAAUCCCUCGGCUCAACCGAGGAAUGGCCUUUGAAACUGCCUGGCUAGAGUCCGGGAGGGGGUAGCGGAAUUCCCAGUGUAGCGGUGAAAUGCGUAGAUACUGGGAGGAACACCAGUGGCGAAGGCGGCUACCUGGACCGGUUCUGACGCUGAUGCGCGAAAGCGUGGGGAGCAAACAGG
This 253-nucleotide ribosomal RNA is filed under the name uncultured bacterium. RNAcentral's name for it is "partial 16S ribosomal RNA". It matches the Rfam family "Bacterial small subunit ribosomal RNA", at positions 524 to 776 of the family's 1533-position model. The record is from RNAcentral.